This is a long non-coding RNA of Passer domesticus (house sparrow), 2206 nucleotides long. RefSeq lists it as uncharacterized. The record is from RefSeq and is a predicted model, not a curated record. Lineage: Eukaryota; Metazoa; Chordata; Aves; Passeriformes; Passeridae. The transcript has 6 exons.
CCGGCGCGUCCUGGCGGGGUCGGGAGCGGGGAGGUUUGUUUGGGAGAGCUGAACCCCUCGUUCUGUGUCCCCCGUGGUGCGAGGGUAAAGCUGCCUUUUUAAAGCCCGGGCGGCAUCAAGGACAGAUCUUGAGCAGCGUGCGAAUCCCUGAAGUUACGGCUUUUCAGAGGUUAUUUUAGAGACCACAGGAAAGCGCCUUGGCAGAUGAAUUUGGAGCCAAACAAGAGCUGAAGAAAGAAACCUGAAAUAUUGCAAUUCUGGCUGGAUUACUUUUUUCAUCCUGAGCUGCAAAAGGAAUAAGGCUGAAUGCUAACAUUUUGAUUUCUUGAGAAGAGGGUCAGAGCCUAAUGGGUUAGUUCCUGUCUCCACACUAGGGCACGUGGUGUAGCUUUCUGGAAACCUUCUAUACGUAACAGUGUGCUGCAAUAUUCCUGCUAGAUUAAGAAGAGAGCAUUGCACUUCAAGGAAAAGAUGAACACUUACAAGUCUGUUGAGGGAUAGAAAUGAGAAUAAGCACAAGUCUACAACACAUGACCUUCAAAGAAAGACCAAGUGAAUUGCUAUGUCUGAGAGCAAGCAACUGAAGACUGAACACACUUGAAUUAACAGUCCUCAAGAGCAUAAAAGGCUGCUUCAGAAAGAAAAAGGAUGAUCCGUUCUCUGUCCAUGACUCUUAUUAUCUAAUCCACUGCCAAAUGAUUCCUGCACCAGAACAAUCUGUGUCUUGAAAAUAACACAGUGCUAAGAGAGACCACAAAGAACUGAGAGGGAAGAUGAGAAUUUGGAGAGGUCACGACAAAACACUGAGUGACAUGAAAGUGUGGGAUGUGUUUGAGUAAAGAUGAAUAAAGGUUCUGUUCUCACACAAGAAGAAGGAGCUACACAAGCACAGGAUAGAUUUCAACAUUAGUAACAGCUCUUCAGAAAAGGAUCUGGCAGAUGUUGUAGAUCACACGCUGAACAUGAGGUAACAGUUGCAAAAAAAGGAAAAUGCUCUAGUACAGUGUUCAAAGAAACUGCCUGGGAAGGCACAUCAGCUGCCCUGUCUGCUCUACUCCACACUCAGGGAGGUGAAUAGGACCUCUACUGAGUUUGCUUUUGCUUCUUUUCUGUGAUUCAGGAUGUCAUUGCACCUGAAUGGUCUUACGGGUUCUUCAUUACAGUGGUAGAUGUGUGUUAGGGCCAACAUUUUCAAAUGUAGGUAUUUAAUCUGAGGCGUGUAUGUAACAAUGUUCUCAUCAGCCACAUGCAUGGCUUAAUUCUCACAGAUUGUUUUCAAGUUUUGCACGUGCUAUGGGUAGAGAAGAACAUAAAUACCAACAUGACUUCAGUUCCCUGACUGACUGCAGCAGAUGCUCCAAUACAGAUUCCUGAGACCCUAAAUUAAGCAGUGGUAGGAUAAUCUGCUACUAAUACCAAGUAGCUAAGAUUGGCUUAAAAUCAAGCAUGCAGCUUAGUGUUUCUUCCAGCUUCUGUAUUAACAGCAACAAUUUAAAUUCCAGAUGGUAUUGUUAUCCUUUUAUAUGUUCAGUCACUUCUUGUGUCAUUUUCUGAACUGUACCCACAGUCUCCACAGUUCAAUUGCAUAUGGUGUGAAAAGUAAUUCUGUAUUAUCUUUUGAAAUUGUCCAGAAGAAGUAGUGAAUACUUUUGCUUUGGUUGUUAACUUUGACAAUCUUAACAAAACCGUCCAGCUGUCAUUAAAAUCUUUCAGGUGCAGACCGAAUUGUCUGGAAAUAAGCAGCCCCACCUCAGAGCAGCCAGUAAGCCAGAGGCUAACAUGGUUAUCUAAAUUAACACUGAAUGAAAACCUGGGUUUCGCACUUCCCAGGUGUAUUUCGUAAUUGCUGGCAGUCCAUUUAAAAACCAACAGCAGAUGUUCCACAGUGCAUUGCAUAUUCAUUGUGGUAGAGAUGGCUUCUACAUCAUGGCAUUUGAAGAACUGGGUUGGAGUAUGUGAGGUGAAGGCUUGGGUCUUUGCUGCAAACCACAUGCUAAAAAUGAAUUUUUUGUUUGAUAGGUGAGCACCUGAGCGUUCAAUAUCUUAGCAUUUCUAGAUGGCUUUCUCUGUUAAGUGUUUCCCCUUUUUUUCUGUCAGAGGAAUUAUGAAACAUGAACUCGUGUACGAAUUUUUUUGCCUUUUGCAGCAAAAACCUGUUUUUUAAAUCAAUAAAUACAAUUGUUUUGCCUGUCAGUGGUCAGAUAUG